CGAGCCACGCCACAGAGAAAGCGUCUAUAUUGGGACACGGACACAGCCACAACGUUAGGAGCAAGGGACAAUACAAACUCAGUUAUUUGCUCAAAUCUACGUCCCUUCACAUUUGAUAAUCUCCUUCCAAGGAUCCCAUCACUGUUCUAACUCUGGGAUACCACAGCAAAUGCGAUCACAAAACCUCCACUCUUGGAGCUGCAGAGAUGGUUCAGAGGUUGACAGCUCAUGCCGUUCCCACAGAGGACCUGCGUUUGUUUCCUCGCAUCCACAUCUGGCAGCUCACAACUGUGUGAAAAGCUCCUGAGGAUCUGGUGUGCUCUUCUAGCCACCAUGGAUGCUGCAUGUACGUGCAUGUACACAUAACUAGAAGUAAAAAUAAAACCUCGAGCAAAACACA
Molecule: long non-coding RNA, 400 nt
Organism: Mastomys coucha (southern multimammate mouse)
Lineage: Eukaryota; Metazoa; Chordata; Mammalia; Rodentia; Muridae
Exons: 2
Source: RefSeq, a predicted model, not a curated record